RNAcentral lists this ribosomal RNA (524 nucleotides) under uncultured bacterium. RNAcentral's name for it is "partial 16S ribosomal RNA". It matches the Rfam family "Bacterial small subunit ribosomal RNA", at positions 28 to 523 of the family's 1533-position model. The record is from RNAcentral.
GACGAACGCUGGCGGCGUGCCUAAUACAUGCAAGUCGAGCGCAGGAAACUGACGGAACUCUUCGGAGGGAAGGCAGCGGAAUGAGCGGCGGACGGGUGAGUAACACGUAAGGAACCUGCCUCAAGGAUUGGGAUAACUCCGAGAAAUCGGAGCUAAUACCGGAUAGUUCAUCGGACCGCAUGGUCCGUUGAUGAAAGGCGCUUCGGCGUCACCUUGAGAUGGCCUUGCGGUGCAUUAGCUAGUUGGUGGGGUAACGGCCCACCAAGGCGACGAUGCAUAGCCGACCUGAGAGGGGAGUCGGCCAAACUGGGACUGAGACACGGCCCAGACUCCUACGGGAGGCAGCAGUAGGGAAUCUUCCACAAUGGACGAAAGUCUGAUGGAGCAACGCCGCGUGAGUGAUGAAGGUUUUCGGAUCGUAAAACUCUGUUGUAAGGGAAGAACACGUACGAGAGGGAAUGCUCGUACCUUGACGGUACCUUACGAGAAAGCCACGGCUAACUACGUGCCAGCCGCCGCGGUAA